CUCAACCUGGGAACUGCAUUCGAAACUGGCAGGGUGUAGUCUUGUAGAGGGGGGUAGAAAUCCAGGUGUAGCGGUGAAAUGCGUAGAGAUCUGGAGGAAUACCGGUGGUGAAGGCGCCCCCCUGGACAAAGACUGACGCUCAGGUGCGAAAGCGUGGGGAGCUAAACAGGAUUAGAUACCCUGGUAGUCCACCGCCGUCAACGAUGUCGAUUUGGAGGUUGUGCCCUUGAGGCGUGGCUUCCGGAGCUAACGCGUUAAAUCGUCCGCCUGGGGAGUACGGCCGCAAGGUUAAAAACUCAAAUGAAUUGACGGGGGCCCGCACAAGCGGUGGAGCAUGUGGUUUAAUUCGAUGCAACGCGAAGAACCUUACCUGGUCUUGACAUCCACAGAACUUUCCAGAGAUGGAUUGGUGCCUUCGGGAACUGUGAGACAGGUGCUGCAUGGCUGUCGUCAGCUCGUGUUGUGAAAUGUUGGGUUAAGUCCCGCAACGAGCGCAACCCUUAUCCUUUGUUGCCAGCGGUUAGGCCGGGAACUCAAAGGAGACUGCCAGUGAUAACUGGAGGAAGGUGGGGAUGACGUCAAGUCAUCAUGGCCCUUACGACCAGGGCUACACACGUGCUACAAUGGCGCAUACAAAGAGAAGCGACCUCGCGAGAGCAAACGGACCUCAUAAAGUGCGUAGUAGUCCGGAUUGGAGUAUGCAACUAGACUCCAUGAAGUCGGAAUCGAUAGUAAUAGUAGAUCAAAAUAAAACGGUAAUACGUUCCCGGGCCUUGAACACACCGCCCGUCACACCAUGGAAGUGGGUUGCAAAAGAAGUAGGUAGAAAACAAAAGGAAGAAAGAACCUAUAGA
Molecule: ribosomal RNA, 854 nt
Filed under: Enterobacter cloacae
Lineage: Bacteria; Pseudomonadati; Pseudomonadota; Gammaproteobacteria; Enterobacterales; Enterobacteriaceae
Description: bacterial SSU rRNA
Rfam family: Bacterial small subunit ribosomal RNA
Source: RNAcentral